RNAcentral lists this ribosomal RNA (507 nucleotides) under uncultured Streptomyces sp. RNAcentral's name for it is "bacterial SSU rRNA". It matches the Rfam family "Bacterial small subunit ribosomal RNA", at positions 386 to 903 of the family's 1533-position model. The record is from RNAcentral. Lineage: Bacteria; Bacillati; Actinomycetota; Actinomycetes; Kitasatosporales; Streptomycetaceae.
AUGCAGCGACGCCGCGUGAGGGAUGACGGCCUUCGGGUUGUAAACCUCUUUCAGCAGGGAAGAAGCGAAAGUGACGGUACCUGCAGAAGAAGCGCCGGCUAACUACGUGCCAGCAGCCGCGGUAAUACGUAGGGCGCAAGCGUUGUCCGGAAUUAUUGGGCGUAAAGAGCUCGUAGGCGGCUUGUCACGUCGGAUGUGAAAGCCCGGGGCUUAACCCCGGGUCUGCAUUCGAUACGGGCAAGCUAGAGUUCGGUAGGGGAGAUCGGAAUUCCUGGUGUAGCGGUGAAAUGCGCAGAUAUCAGGAGGAACACCGGUGGCGAAGGCGGAUCUCUGGGCCGAUACUGACGCUGAGGAGCGAAAGCGUGGGGAGCGAACAGGAUUAGAUACCCUGGUAGUCCACGCCGUAAACGGUGGGCACUAGGUGUGGGCAACAUUCCACGUUGUCCGUGCCGCAGCUAACGCAUUAAGUGCCCCGCCUGGGGAGUACGGCCGCAAGGCUAAAACUCA